Rhinolophus ferrumequinum (greater horseshoe bat) is the source of this 3059-nucleotide RNA transcript. It is a transcript of the gene named proline rich 16, with no coding region annotated. The record is from RefSeq and is a predicted model, not a curated record. The transcript is spliced from 4 exons. Lineage: Eukaryota; Metazoa; Chordata; Mammalia; Chiroptera; Rhinolophidae.
UGUGAGGGGGUCGCUAUGGAUGCGCAUCUCUUGUUUUCUGCAGAAGUAAGUGCACCUCUGUUUAACUCGUAGUCACUUGGAGAAUAAUUAGAGACCUUCUGGAGAUACUUUGGUCCUGGAUAAAUAUUUAGGGUCGCUUUUCUGACCUUAAAUCUAACUCCUGACCCGACUGUGGUUCUUUCUGAAUUGAUCAGAAAGCGUGGUGGGGAUUCGGGUCUCUGCUUGCGGUGAAGCAGAAGGAAUUUAAGCUGUAAUAGAUGUGAGAAGACAUAUAGCAGGCUGCUGAUUAUGGCAUUUCGAGAUCGAGACGAGGGGGUGGGCAGGACAGGAACUUGUCUCCCUGAUCCCUGACACCCAGGUGCUGUGGAAGAGAUCCCGGGGGGAAGUGCCGCGGGAACUGCAGCUGCCAGCCCUAGGCACGGCACCCGGGAACCCCCUCCGCGGGCGGGAGCGAGAGCGUCUGUGCGCGAGCGGCGGGCGGCGGCGGGAGGAGGCGCAGGCGCGCUGCUUGCGGGUCUGCAGCCCGGUGCCGAGCGCCGCGUCUCGGGGAGUUGAUGGCAGCACCACAGUGCGGCCGCCCAGCGGAGCGCGGAGCGCAGCCACCCGCGGUCGUCCAGGGAGCGUCCAAGAUGUGGAGGGAUCCGGGCGGCAGCGGCCGCAGCAGCGCCAGGGUCGAGGGCGCGCAGCAGCCUUCCCUCGCCCGCCUGUGCUGACCUGCCUCGUUUGGCCCCAAAGAAUGUCAGCCAAGUCCAAGGGGACCCCCUCCUUGUCCUCUCCUGCCGAGGGACCGCCGGCAGCCUCCAAAACCCAGGUGAAGGAGCAGAUCAAGAUCAUCGUGGAGGAUCUGGAAUUAGUCCUGGGCGAUCUGAAGGACGUGGCCAAGGAACUUAAGGAGGUGGUUGACCAGAUUGACACCUUGACCUCUGACCUACAGCUGGAGGAUGAGAUGACCGACAGCUCCAAAACAGACACCCUGAAUAGUAGCUCCAGCGGCACAACAGCCUCCAGCAUAGAGAAGAUCAAAGUGCAGGCCAAUGCGCCUCUCAUUAAGCCGCCGGCACACCCGUCUGCCAUCCUCACCGUCCUGAGAAAGCCAAACCCUCCGCCACCUCCUCCACGGUUGACUCCUGUGAAGUGUGAAGACCCCCAAAGGGUGGUGCCAACUGUCAAUCCUGUAAAGACCAAUGGCACCCUUUUACGAAACGGAGGCGUACCAGGGGCACCAAACAAAAUUCCAAAUGGAGACAUCUGCUGCAUACCCAGUAGUAAUUUAGACAAGGCUCCAGUGCAGCCUCCGAUGCAUAGACCUGAAAAAGGCCGGUGUCCCCAGGCAGGACCUCGGGAACGCGUGCGGUUUAAUGAAAAAGUGCAGUACCAUGGCUAUUGUCCUGACUGUGACCCCCGGUAUCACAUAAAAAACCGGGAGGUCCAUUUACACAGCGAACCUGUCCACCCCCCAGGAAAGCUUCCUCGCCAAGGCCCUCCCCUCCCUCCGCCUCCCCACCUGCCCCCAUUUCCACUCGAAAAUGGGGGACUGGGAAUAAGCCACAGUAACAGCUUUCCCCCUCUCAGACCUGCAACUGUGCCUCCGCCCACUGCACCAAAACCACAGAAGACGAUUUUGAGGAAAUCGACCACUACGACAGUGUGAUGUAUGCCAUUUAAAAACACUUUCUGUUUUAUUUUGAUUUUUAUAUUAUAAACAUAAAAUAAUAAGUAAUGAGCACUUUCUACUCAAGCAAUAAAAAGCCCAAAUAUAUUAAUCCUGCAUUCAGCAAAGUGACAUAAAAAUCACCUGAUGCUUUGGCCCCUGCCAGCCUCUCCAGAAACAACUAUAUUUUCUCCCUUCAAUAUUAUGCUACAGACUAUUGAAGCUCCUUCAGGUCUUUAUUUGGAGGCAUGUCAGCUCAUUUUUCUCACUUCAGAUUCAUCAUUAUGACUUCUUGAGGCCAGAUCUAAUUUUGAAAUAACCAGGAACCUGUCCAUCUCAGAGCAGCAAAUCCCUCAACUUUGGAGCACAAAUGAUCACAGAUACGGUCUGCAUAAAAUCAUCUGCCUCUAGUCUGACAGCCAUGAGCAGAGCCAUAGGGAAAAAAAAAAAAAAGCCACAGCCUUAAAUCUCUUCGCUCAGAAAUUAUCAAGAAGAUUAAAUAAAUAAAAAAAAGAAGAAAAAAAAUAGAUGAAAAGGACUAAACAAGCAAGCCAACAACAACAAAACAUUUUAUUUCACCAUGAAAAUAGAUAUUCCCAGAUGUGAACCCACAAAAAUUUAUAUUCAGCAAUUACCCUAGUAAAUUGUACAUUGAUUUAUCAUUUGGGAAGGUGAAAGUACAGAGAUAGGAGGUAUCUCUAGUCAGAAUUACUCACCAUUGCAAAUACGUAGACAAAACGAUACUGAACGAACAAGGAGCAUUGCAGCAAUGAACAGUAUUAAGACAGAAUGUUGCUGUUAGAGAGAGAGGAUGUUUGCCAUCUUGUGUAUACCCUUAAAGCCAUAAUGGAAUGACAGCAUUGUUGUCAAUUGCUUGAAAACUUUCUGCAUUCACUCCUUCACUUCAUAUUGGUUGAGAGAGGGGAAAGGUCAGUUCUUACUGAUUACUUCUCAAUGCACUUCUAAUAUUUGCACUGUCACUUCCAUUCAGGGUAAUGAUGUGUGCUAUUAUUUGCACAGAUGGUCCCAUGCGUUUUGAGACCACAACAAGCAGUUUCUUGCAAGAGUCCAAAAAGGAAAUAUUUAAGAAUUCUGCAGACAUUGAUUUUGCUUCUAUAAAAAUCAGUUAUCUAAAAAAAAAGGUCUUGUCUCAGAUUCAGAAACAACUACAGAAUAAUAAUGAAAAAGCAUUAGUGUGGUCAAAUGAAUGAAAAAGGGAUCAAGAUUUUUUUUUUUAAAUGAAGGUCAUUUUAUAUCAUUAACAGCCAACAAGUCAAAUACAGUGAACUGUACACUAAACAUUUGUGUUGAACAUCUAUUUGUUCUCUUAAUUAAAAAAAAAUCAUUUGUAAUUUGUAUUUGACAUAUAACAGUUUUUUAUAGCCAUUUAUCUAUGCUUCAUGGGAAA